RNAcentral lists this ribosomal RNA (479 nucleotides) under Charax michaeli. RNAcentral's name for it is "partial 16S large subunit ribosomal RNA". It matches the Rfam family "Bacterial large subunit ribosomal RNA", at positions 1955 to 2591 of the family's 2925-position model. The record is from RNAcentral. Lineage: Eukaryota; Metazoa; Chordata; Actinopteri; Characiformes; Characidae.
GGUAGCGCAAUCACUUGUCUUUUAAAUGAAGACCUGUAUGAAUGGUGGAACGAGGGCUUAACUGUCUCCCUUUUUAGGUCAAUGAAAUUGAUCUGCCCGUGCAGAAGCGGACAUAAACAUACAAGACGAGAAGACCCUUUGGAGCUUAAGACAUAAGGCCAAUUACGUCAAUAUCCCAUGAACAGGAAUAAAACAUAGUAACAACUGACCUACGUCUUCGGUUGGGGCGACCACGGGGGAAAAACAAGCCCCCACGUGGACUGGGACAACCUAAAACCACGAGGGACACCUCUAAGUCACAGAAAAUCUGACCAAACAGAUCCGGCACACCAGCCGAUCAACGAACCAAGUUACCCUAGGGAUAACAGCGCAAUCCCCUCCAAGAGUCCAUAUCGACAAGGGGGUUUACGACCUCGAUGUUGGAUCAGGACAUCCUAAUGGUGCAGCCGCUAUUAAGGGUUCGUUUGUUCAACGAUUAA